GAUCCGGGCGGGGCCCCGCCGGGUCCGCGUGCCGCCUGUCGGGGGACGCCGGUGGGGGCGUGCUGGCCGCCGUUGGCGUGGGUGUGGCGGGGUGGUCCGCGCUCCCCGCUGGGGUGCGGGGCUGGGCUGGUAGAGCUUCCAUCUGCGGGUGCCGUUUCCGCGCGCCGGCUAGCGGUGGCCAACGUGCUCCCCUCCCUGGCCUUCCGUGCCCCGUGCGGCCUUCUCCCUGAGCGCCGCCUGCCCUGCUCGGAUAAAAUGGGAGCGCGUGCUGGCCUCCAUGGUGUUUGUUUUGUCUUGCUGUUUUAAAAUUACAUCAAAAUGCCAAUAAGACCAGAUCUCCAGUUGGAAAAAUGCAUUGAUGAUGCUUUAAGAAAAAAUGAUUUCAAACCUUUAAAAACACUUUUACAAAUUGGUGUUUGUGAAGAUGUAAAGAUUAAAUGCAGCAAGCAAUUUUUACACAAGUUGGAUGACCUUGUAUG
Molecule: long non-coding RNA, 479 nt
Organism: Acinonyx jubatus (cheetah)
Lineage: Eukaryota; Metazoa; Chordata; Mammalia; Carnivora; Felidae
Exons: 3
Source: RefSeq, a predicted model, not a curated record